UUAACGGGUGAGGAACACGUGAAGAAUCUGCCCUCCACUUUGGGAUAACACCGGGAAACCGGUGCUAAUACUGAAUAUUGAAACAUAAGUGGCAUCACUGAGUUUUGAAAGAAUUUCGGUGGAGGAUGACUUCGCGGCCUAUCAGCUAGUUGGUGAGGUAAUGGCUCACCAAGGCAACGACGGGUAGCCGGCCUGAGAGGGCGACCGGCCACACUGGGACUGAGACACGGCCCAGACUCCUACGGGAGGCAGCAGUGGGGAAUAUUGGGCAAUGGAGGAAACUCUGACCCAGCGACGCCGCGUGCGGGAUGAAGGCCUUCGGGUUGUAAACCGCUUUCAGUAGGGAAGAAGCGAAAGUGACGGUACCUACAAAAGAAGCACCGGCUAACUAUGUGCCAGCAGCCGCGGUAAUACAUAGGGUGCAAGCGUUGUCCGGAAUUAUUGGGCGUAAAGAGCUCGUAGGUCGUUUGUUACGUCGGAUGUGAAAACCUGAGGCUCAACCUCAGGCCUGCAUUCGAUACGGGCAAACUAGAGUUUGGUAGGGGAGACUGGAAUUCCUGGUGUAGCGGUGGAAUGCGCAGAUAUCAGGAGGAACACCAAUGGCGAAGGCAGGUCUCUGGGCCAAUACUGACACUGAGGAGCGAAAGUCUGGGGAGCGAACAGGAUUAGAUACCCUGGUAGUCCAGACCGUAAACGGUGGGCACUAGUUGUGGGAACCUUCCACGGUUUCUGCGACGCAGCUUACGCAUUAAGUGCCCCGCCUGGGGAGUACGAUCGCAAGAUUAAAACUCAAAGGAAUUGACGGAGCCCCGCACAAGCAGCGGAGCAUGCGGCUCAAUUCGACGCAACGCGAAGAACCUUACCAAGGCUUGACAUAUAGGGAAAAGUGACAGAGAUGUCAUGUCCCCAAGGGCUCUAUACAGGUGGUGCAUGGUUGUCGUCAGCUCGUGUCGUGAGAUGUUGGGUUAAGUCCGCCAACGAGCGCAACCCUCGUUCUGUGUUACCAGCAUUUAGUUGGGGACUCACAGGAGACUCCCGGGGUUAACUCGGAGGAAGGUGGGGAUGACGUCAAAUCAUCAUGCCCCUAUCGUCUUGGGCUGCACGCAUGCUACAAUGGCCCGUACA
Molecule: ribosomal RNA, 1125 nt
Filed under: uncultured bacterium
Lineage: Bacteria
Description: bacterial SSU rRNA
Rfam family: Bacterial small subunit ribosomal RNA
Source: RNAcentral